ACCCAUGAUCAUACAAUUGAAAACCACUAAAAUAUAUGAAGGUAAUAUGUCAUUACAAGCUCCUUAAAUUAAAAUAAAAUAUGUCCAAUAACAAGCAAAUCUAACUGAAAUAGAAGAAAUAUUACUCCUAAACUGAGACUGAAAAGUAGAAGUUUCUUCCAAAGUACCAAUAAUGUGGUGAUACUUAGUUUGCAUUAGUCUUGAUUCAAUUCUCACCUUUUAUACCUGUGUAAAAAAGAGAAAACAAAUUUAUAAGAUUUAAUAUAAAGUAGAAUUUGCAACAUUACAUUAUGUUUUUCAUACAUUGUAAUGCCAAGUUUCUGCAAAGAUAAAUCAAUCAUACAUAAUAUGAAGCUACACAUAUAUACGAACUAUAUCCCCACUGCUAUUUGUGGUGUGCAUGAAGUACAUCACAAGGAAACCAUAUCCCCACUGCUAUUUGUGGUGUGCAUGAAGUACAUCACAAGGCGUUGAUGCUAUGGGUGGCUGAAACUGAAAUACUUUGUUUUGCAGAUAAACAUGCUCAUAUUUUGCAAAGGGAAUAUAACAUAUGUGUUAAUGCCAAUAAGAUCAGGAAUAAAAACAUUCUCAGAGGUCACAUGGCUCACUACAAAUGCUACAAAGUUUAAUGUUUAUACUUCCAUCAUGGGGAAACAAGAGGUAAAUGCUAUAUGUUAAUUGUCUGAAUACGUCAGAGGUAACCACCAAUUAAAUACCUGGGCAUUCCCAUCACUUCUAGAACACUAAAUGCUAUAGAUUGCAAUGUGUUAGUAGGAAAAAUGACAGCCAAGGUGAAAAUUUGAGGCUUGAGGAACCUGUGUUUCCCUAGUAGGCUUCAACUGGUCAAUACCAUGCUG
Molecule: long non-coding RNA, 857 nt
Filed under: Solanum tuberosum (potato)
Lineage: Eukaryota; Viridiplantae; Streptophyta; Magnoliopsida; Solanales; Solanaceae
Description: long non-coding RNA (STUB_LNC010088)
Source: RNAcentral